CCGUUUUUCCGGCAAAUUCGGCAAGUCGGCAAUUUGCCGGUUUGUCGAUUUGUCGGAAAUUUUCUACUCCGGCAAUUUGCCAUUUUUCCGAUUUGCCGGAAAAAUCGUUUGCCGCCCACCCCUGGUUGGUAUGUUUGAACGGUGUAGU
Non-coding RNA from Caenorhabditis elegans, 148 nucleotides. NCBI's taxonomy places the organism in Eukaryota, Metazoa, Nematoda, Chromadorea, Rhabditida, Rhabditidae. The record is from Ensembl.